AUACGGGGGGUGCAAGCGUUAAUCGGAAUUACUGGGCGUAAAGCGCGCGUAGGCGGUUUGCUCAGUCGGAUGUGAAAGCCCAGGGCUCAACCUUGGAACUGCAUACGAUACUGGCAAACUAGAGUGUGUGAGAGGAUAGUGGAAUUUCCGGUGUAGCGGUGAAAUGCGUAGAUAUCGGAAGGAACAUCAGUGGCGAAGGCGACUGUCUGGCUCAACACUGACGCUGAGGUGCGAAAGCGUGGGUAGCAAACAGUAUUAGAAACCCGAGUAGUCC
RNAcentral lists this ribosomal RNA (274 nucleotides) under uncultured bacterium. RNAcentral describes it as "partial 16S ribosomal RNA". It matches the Rfam family "Bacterial small subunit ribosomal RNA", at positions 523 to 796 of the family's 1533-position model. The record is from RNAcentral.